This 468-nucleotide ribosomal RNA is filed under the name uncultured bacterium. RNAcentral describes it as "partial 16S ribosomal RNA". It matches the Rfam family "Bacterial small subunit ribosomal RNA", at positions 28 to 507 of the family's 1533-position model. The record is from RNAcentral.
GACGAACGCUGGCGGUGUGCUUAACACAUGCAAGUCGAACGGAAAGGCCCUGCUUUUGUGGGGUGCUCGAGUGGCGAACGGGUGAGUAACACGUGAGUAACCUGCCCUUGACUUUGGGAUAACUUCAGGAAACUGGGGCUAAUACCGGAUAGGAGCUCCUGCUGCAUGGUGGGGGUUGGAAAGUUUCGGCGGUUGGGGAUGGCCUCGCGGCUUAUCAGCUUGUUGGUGGGGUAGUGGCUUACCAAGGCUUUGACGGGUAGCCGGCCUGAGAGGGUGACCGGCCACAUUGGGACUGAGAUACGGCCCAGACUCCUACGGGAGGCAGCAGUGGGGAAUAUUGCACAAUGGGCGGAAGCCUGAUGCAGCAACGCCGCGUGCGGGAUGACGGCCUUCGGGUUGUAAACCGCUUUCGCCUGUGACGAAGCGUGAGUGACGGUAAUGGGUAAAGAAGCACCGGCUAACUACGUG